GGUGUUAACAAAUUUACAAAGAAGCUCCGCAACCCACAUGCCAUUGAAAACAAUGAAUUACUGGACUUCCUCAGGAGAGUGCCAUCAGAUGUUCAAAAGGUGCAGUAUAGUGAGCUGAGAGUGCCUGGCAUCCAGAGUGCACAGAAGAAGAAGCGCUAGUGCUCAUGCAAGUUGUUCCGGAUGAAAGGGCGAGACAGUGUUUGAAAGUGGUCUCCUCCCAUCCUGUAGAAUCAGGUGGCGCCCCCACCCAUCAGACUUGUCUCCUGUGGGGAGGUUGCUCAGCCUCUCUCAAAUGGCAGUGUGCGUGCAUGUGUGUGUGUGUGUGUGUCCGUGUGUGUCUGUGUGAUAGAGCAUUAUGUCACUCAGUGGUUUGCAGACCAGCAUGUUGGGAUGUAAUUAACAGAGUAUGAUCAUGAUAAAUAAAAAAAGCAAACCCUUCCGUGAUAGUGCAAACAACAACAAGCAAUUAAGAAAUGAAUGAACACAAUACUACUAUACAUUAAUAAGUGACACAAAAUGCCCUGGUGGUGUAUUAAUCAUUUGAGAAUGACAGGUUUUGUAUUUUAAUAAAAGGUCAUUAGGCCUGAUGAAGUAUCUCCUCAUUUAGACAGUAAACAGCAAACUAUAUUGAUACAAUGUAAUGCCAUGAGAAAUACUGAUUUAAACAGUAAUAUUUAUUAAAUAGUCGAAAUCAAAUAUGACCUUUUUGUAAAAUGUACUAUUGAAUGUGUAUGGAUUAUAUGCUUUGUAUCAAUAUUUUUUAUCCUUUAUACUAUAUUUAAAAUAACAUGUUUAUAAACUUAUAAAGCUAACUAAUGGUUUGA
Long non-coding RNA from Silurus meridionalis, 824 nucleotides. RefSeq lists it as uncharacterized. NCBI's taxonomy places the organism in Eukaryota, Metazoa, Chordata, Actinopteri, Siluriformes, Siluridae. The record is from RefSeq and is a predicted model, not a curated record. The transcript has 2 exons.